Molecule: transfer RNA, 70 nt
Filed under: Omobranchus elegans (elegant blenny)
Lineage: Eukaryota; Metazoa; Chordata; Actinopteri; Blenniiformes; Blenniidae
Description: tRNA-Tyr
Rfam family: tRNA
About the family: Transfer RNA (tRNA) molecules are approximately 80 nucleotides in length. Their secondary structure includes four short double-helical elements and three loops (D, anti-codon, and T loops).
Source: RNAcentral
GGUAGGAUGGCUGAGUGUUAAGCGGUGGUUUGUAGCUCCAUAAACAAGGGUUCAAAUCCCUUUCUUACCA